AUUACUUGGCAGACCAUUAACGUCUCCUAUUCCGCCUUACCGUGUUAAUGCGGCCUACAGGAAUCCUCUUUUAAACGACGUCCCUCUUCAGUAUUAUUCUGUUGCAGCCUGGAAUUCUCGAACGCUUUUAAAAGCCGUGGCGGCAAACUAUUAUGGCGCACGAACCGUCCUUGUUGCAUAAGAGACACUUCCGGAUUUGUCCACAAGAGGGACACGCGGGGACUGCGUACUGGAGCUUCAGAGCUAUUGCAAGGCUUUGGAAAGCUUGAAUAUAUACAAUACUGGAUUAGUUUUAUUGUCGUUUGGUGCUUUUCCGUCCUUGUUGAAGCUCAAUGCUACACUACAAAUGCUCGAUUGCAUGGAAAAACAUAUAUUCUUGGAAAUAUUGUGUUCCAGCUUCCAAGAAUAAACAUUGGGUUUGUGCCGCGUUUCUGAAUAAUCCGCGGGACAUAUUAAGGGGACACAGACAUGCACUUGGCACAGCCACCCCGCCUUGCCCUGUCUGCCCCAUCCCCUACAGCGCCCCUGUGCCAGAUGUACUGGACGCAGAGAACAUCAACCAUGGAGGGCACCUUACUUAUGCAGCAUCCUUUAAUUGGCUGUCCAGCUUCAGUGCAACAGAGAUAGAUGCUUGUCUUAUCUACCUGUUCAGGUUUUGUGGACCUCUUUCACUGUGCUGUGUAUGUGAGUUCUACAGACUUGGAUUUAGACUUACAAUAUAAAUCAAUAUAGACAGACAUGUUUCUGUGUACAUGAGAGAGACUGUCUAUAUAGAGAAUGUGAAGAUACAGCACGCCAUUUUGCUUGUUGGAGCAGGGGCGCCAUCUUGUGAGGAUCACGCUCUGUUACAGAUACCUGCGUACCUUUUGAUUUGUUUGGCUAAACAGUUGCUUAAAUCAGGGGUUCCCAAACGUUUCCAGGGCAAGGCCCCCCAAAUGGCUUUAACAUUUGACCGAGGCCCCCCUUUUGCAAGAUGUCUUUAAAACACAUUAAAAAUUCAGACUUCUGAAUAUAUCACCCUUUUUUUAAUUAAUAAUUACAUAUUAUAUCUUUCCAUUACAUUACAUUACAUUAGGAAUUGACUGUGUGUGUGUGUGGUUGUCUGAGAGUGAGAAAGAGAAAACAUACUAGUGGGAGGGAUGGGCUUGGCGGCUCCGACCAAAUUGUUGAGGCCCCCCCGGGCGCUCCCUGGUGGCCCCACUUUGAAAACCACUGGCUUAAAUCAUUCAAAUCUUGAUGGAGAAAGAAAGAGAUGAAUAAGGGGGGGAAAGGGACCCGACCGGAAGAAAUUAAAUCUCAAUGCCAAGCGAUGGUAUUUGGACAAACUAAGCACAAUAAACAACAUAGAUCCAUGUGACUAAAGGCAUCUAAACACAAGCAUUUAAACAAGAAAUCUGAUCCAGCAUCACUGAUCUGCCUUUUAAAUAUGUAAUUUCAAUAAUUAAUUUUUUUGUUAUUUAUGUAUUUUGUAUUUUAUAUUUUAUUUAUUUCAUAUUUAUUUAUUUUGCUUACUGGGUUUUUGCUUAUAGGGUUUUUUUUGCUUAUUGUCAGGUAUUGUUCUUGAAAAUUAUUUAAAAAUAUAUACUUUUUUUAAUGUUAUGGGUAUUUUUUUACUCAGCUUCCAUAUGGGAUCAAUUUCCCAUCAAAAGUAUUGUGGUCACGGAUCGAAAAAUUAUAAGUGUGAAUCAAACAUUUAAAAACACAUGCAAAAUUAUAUUGCACAAAACUGAAACAUGAAUUCAAAGUUUUUUGAAUCGCGCUCAAUAUCAUUUUCCUUGGUCAUAUUACUGUGUUUUUGUGCUCUCUGACAUUUUCUCUUCAUGUUUUCUCUUUUUGAAUGCUUGCACUGUUUUUCCCUUUGCACUUGUUUACACGUUCUCUGCUUGCUUUUGCAAAAGCUGCAGUUCGAGUUCCCUUUCAAAGCACAACGCUUUGGGAGCGCCCUUGCGCAUGACCGGCAUCUGAAGCUUGUGUAACAUCAUGUCUAUUUAUAGGCCUGCCGUGAUCAGGUGAUGUGGCAAUUAAGCGCAUCACGUGUGAUAUAUAUAUGGCACCUGUGAACCGCGCCGUCAGCCUUAUUAUCUUCAGCGAGACUGUAACGCUCACAAAAAAAUGCUUCAUUUACUCUCUAUCUUUUCAAAAAAUCUCUUGACUUUUCUAUCCCUUUAAGAAAAGAGAAGAAAAAAAGUAGACCUGCUGAGUGAGCUUGACACUGGGGAGAGAAUUGGACCUGAGGCAGUGGCAGAGCUGCACUGCACCACAGAUUUGUCUCUCUGGGUGACCAAGCAAACGGCCUGUCAUAUCGGCCGUUCAAUGGUUAGCUUGGUUGUGGCGGAGAGGCACCUAUGGCUCAACCUCUCAGGGAUGGGGGACAAAGGUAGGGUCUCCUUGAUGGACACCCCUGUUAAACCUUAUGGCCUGUUCGGUGGCGCAGUUAAUGCCAUUGCCGACAAGUUUCUCAAAGCAAAACAGUACAUAGCGGCGUUCAGCCAGUUCCUUCCCCGUCAUGUUGAGUUCGCUUGGGCAUCUAUGAGUGGAGCCCGGGCCAGCACUAGUGCGAGGGAGGCACAGAAGGCAAGUGUGGGGGUCUGCCUCCCCCAGCGGAGAACCAGGGGGACCUUACGGCCAAAGUCGCAGCCUGCUAAUAGGCCUGAUCUGAGAAUGAUUAUAAAAGCCAAGCAGGCAAGGAAGGAGCGGUCCUGAUGGGUCACGGAGGGACAUAUCAGGGGACAUGAAGUUGUUAGAGCAGAUAGCCACCAUUGCUACUGUAGGGCCUCCCGUAUCCAAGGCCAUCCCAAGUUUUCAGUGUUCUUUGGUCAGCGAGCUGUCACAGGGCAACAAAAAUCUGAACAGAAUGUGGAAAAGUUAACGUCAGUAAAAGACCAUCUGGCAGCGUGGAAACUACUGCCAAAUGUGUCUCCAUGGGUUCUGUCUACCAUAGAAAAGGGUUACCGGGUCCAGUUCAGAGCUCGAUCCCCACCGGUUCAGAGGUGUGCUCACCACAGUAGUCAGCACAGAUUAGAGCCCAAUGUUAGUACAGGAAUUAAGAUCCCUCUUGGACAAAGGGGCCAUAGAACAUGUACCCCGUUCCCUAAGGGUGGGAGGUUUUUACAGCCAUUAUUUCCUGGUCUACAAAAAAGAUGGGAGUAUGCGGCCAAUUUUAGAUCUGCGUCAUCUGAACCGUACUCUUCGGACAUACAGGUUCAAGAUGCUGAUGCUCAAACUUAUCGUGCCACAGAUUCAGUUCGAGGACUGGUUUGUGAUGAUAGAUCUAAAAGACGUAUAUUUACACAUAGGAAUAUCGCCCAGUCACAGGAAGUUCCUGAGGUUUGCAUUUGGAGACAACGCAUACCAAUAUCGGGUUCUUCCCUUCGGGCAAGCUUUAUCCCCCUCGCACCUUCACAAAGUGCAUGGAUGCUGCUCUGGCUCCCUUGCAACUCCAGGGCAUCUGUGUACUAAACUACCUGGACGACUGGUUAAUUCUAGCACGAUCCAGGGAACUGGCCCUUCAACAUCGAGAUGUUGUUGUUCUCACCCACAUGAGGAGCUUGGGGCUCAGGUUGAACCUGUGAGGGAAAUUAUUCAUUUUUACUUUGUAAUAGUUUUGUUCUUAUUCUGUUUCAUUCUCAUCAGAGGAUAACACCUAAGAAGGCCAUGUCAUGUCACUUAGAUCAGUACAGAAUGUUUAUCUGAUAUACAGAGACACAAACAUGUUCUUCUGUUCAAGGUUCAUCUGCACAUCUUCUAAGACCCUAAAACAAACCCUGUUUGAACUGCCUCAAACCACUUGUUAUCGGUAUACAGAAGUGUGUCAUGCUCUGUGUUUCAUAUAUAUAGUAGAGGUUCAGCACAAGCACUUGAGAGCACUCUCAUAAUUCUAUCCUGCUUUAUUCUAUCCUGUAUUAACCAUCUUCCUGUAAUAAACCUUUUUACCUUCAGAGGACGACUCUGCGAGUGUUGUCUAAUUUCCCCGACAAUUUGGCGUCUCCUGGCUGGGCUGUGCGAGUCUUUUCAGCUUUUCUGGACAACAAGCAAACUGGUGGACGCUCAUGGAAAAGUUUCACCUUGAAGUCCGUGUUGACGUGAAGGCGGUUUUCUCUUGGUUGUGCAGAGCGAAAGAUUGAUGCAGCCUUACCACUGACUGGUAGGAAUCAUCAAGACAAUACUGGGAGUCUGGGGGUAGACACUUCAGCUGGAAAGAUAAACCAAAGAGAGAUAUUGAAGUUUAUUGGGUGGAAGACUUGAUGAUCAAUCACGCCAAUCACACUGUUGCAGCAGAAAGAGUGCAUGACACACACACUUUUACCCAAAUUUGGUAUUUAGCUGAUCGUGGUGACGGGACUAAGUGCCUAAGGCGAUGUGAUUUCUAUAGGUCCCGCGAAGUUCUUUGGUAGACUAUUGCUGCAGAUUGGACGACAAUUAGUAGUUAAAAGCCCAUAUGCCAAGAUAUUGGCCGCCUCUGUAAACCUUUCUGUACCAGCUUUCAUCAGAAGAAUCAUUGCCAACAGUGCUACCCACACAACAUCACACGUCCCCUCGAAAUGCAGACACAUAAUGGUUAUUCUAUCAUUGAACACAUGCCGUCUGUGAUACGCAACCCUCCGCAGACUAGUGAGAUGGGGUUUGAUUGGCUGAACUCAGUACUCGGGGCAUGGGGCUCGUGGAUAUUAACCGUCUGUCUACCAAUAGGUGCAAUAAUUCUUCUUGUCUUGCUCAUUUUGCCUUGUAUUGUUUCUCUCAUUUGGAGCAGUCUCUCAUGCUCGUUGAAAUCACUAAUGACCAAAUGCUGAUGUUGACAAAGACUGAUUAUGAUACCUAUGAUGACCAACUUGACUUAGUAUCAGAUUCUCCCAGCGACACUGAUGAUGACGACCCAUUGACAUCCAUUUCACACCUAUUGUAAAUAUUCCUUUGACCAGGACGACUCUCAUUUCACUCUAAAAUGAGCUCACUUGACUACAGGAUACUUUAUAUACACAAAAACAGCCUUAGAGCCUUCAUUAUGUCUGUUUUAUGAUGAAUUCAGUUGAACCAUGAAAGGAUUCUGAAGUUCUGAUGUAUUCACAGCAUAGUAAUUUCUCUGUUAAUUUUAGUUAUCAUAUUUUGUAAUGAUAAAAUGGGGGAAAUGUGAGGGAAAUUAUUCAUUUUUACUUUGUAGUAGUUUUGUUCUUGUUCUGUUUCAUUCACAUCAGAGGAUAACACCUAAGAAGGCCAUGUCAUGUCACUUAGAUCAGUACAGAAUGAUUAUCUGCUAUACAGACACAAACAUGUUCUUCUGUUCAAGGUUCGUCUGCACAUCUUCUAAGACCCUAAAACAAACCCUGUUUGAGCUGCCUUCGCAUACCUUCCUGGGACCUUUCUGUGGUCCUGGAAGGUCUGUCAGGGGCCCCAUUUGAGCCCUUAGAGUCAGCCUCUGAGAAGCUUCUGACUCUAAAUGUAGCUCUACUGCUGGCCCUGACAUCUCUCAAGCGAGUAGGAGAUCUACAAGCUCGCUCUGUUGCCCCUUCCUGCCUUGACUUUACCCCUAGAUUAGCCAAGGCCUUCCUGUAUUCUAGGCCGGAUUAUAUUCCUAAAGUGCCUACAUCUGCUGCCCAGUUUGUAGUGUUGCAGGCUUUCUGCCCUCCUCCGUUCCUCACACCGGGACAAGAGAGAAUGCACCUGUUGUGUCCAGUAAGGGCUCUCUGCACUUACGUCCACCACUCUGGCCAGUGGCAUAAGUCGGACUAGCUGCUGGUUUGCUUUGGUGGCGACAGUAGAGGUGAUGCUGUGUCGAAGCAGCGCAUCUCUAAUUGGAUAGUGGAAGCAAUCUCUAUCACUUAUGAGGUGCACGGUCUUGUUCUGCCUCUGGGCAUAAGGGUUCAUUCCACUAGGGAGGGCGCCUCCUCGAAGUCUUUGUCCAAAGGGGUAUCCUUACAGGAUGUGUGUGCUGCUGCGGGGUGGUCUACGCCACACACAUUCAUUCGAUAUUACAGCCUGGAUAUUCAUUCCACCCCGGGCUUGAGUGUCUUGCAGUCACCCUCGGGCUUGGGUCUUUUUGAACAGGCCGUACCCUUGGUAUGACGGAGUGGGUAUUCUCAUUCCCGUAGCGUUGUGCUAACGCAACAUGGAGUUCCCCUUGAAAGGGAAUGUCUGGAUUAUGCAUGUAACCCUGUUCCCUGAGAAGGGAACAAGGCAUUGCGUAGCUUUGUCAUACCGAGGUGAAUUGUGUCUUCGCUUCAGAUAAUAGAGGCUGAUGGCACGGUUCACAGGUGCCAUAUAUAUCACACGACACGCUUAAUUGCCAUGUCACCUGAUCAUGCCAGGCCUUUAAAUUAGGCAUGAUGUUACACAAGCUUCAGAUGCCGAUUGCGCACAAGGGUGCUCCCAUAGCGUUGUCUCAUUCCCAUCUCAGGGAACAGGGUUAUAUGCGUAAACCCAGACAUUUCAUGUAAAUGAGGGCUGGCUUUAGCGUCACCAUUGGUCCACUAUAGCUCCUCCUCUAGUCAAUCAAUCAACAAGGAGAGUUGACGUCACUCCACUGCAACUAGUGCAUCGAAUUCAGUAUAAAGGGAAUCAGUCGUCACCACAUCAAUAAAGCCGUACCAACAGCUUUUCUAGUUUACCCUCACCAAUCUAUGCUCAAUACCCUAUUUAUCAUGAAGUGAUAAUAGUUUUGAACAUCUGAAGGACAAAUGGGAUGUUCUUGAGUUAAAGUGUCAUAGCAAAGGGCCUGCUUUAAAUACUUAUAUCGAUGUGGUAUUUCAGUUUUUAUUUUUAAUAAGUGUGCAAGAAUGUGUGUUGUCAUAGUGGUCUGAGUGUACAUUGUGGAAUGA
This is a long non-coding RNA of Ictalurus furcatus (blue catfish), 6812 nucleotides long. RefSeq lists it as uncharacterized. NCBI's taxonomy places the organism in Eukaryota, Metazoa, Chordata, Actinopteri, Siluriformes, Ictaluridae. The record is from RefSeq and is a predicted model, not a curated record. The transcript is spliced from 5 exons.